CCGCACGGUCGCCAAUCAUAAUCUUUCUUGGGCACCAUAUGCAAUGGGAAAGCCCACGGACUAUUAGAUGGGCGAAUAAUCCU
RNAcentral lists this non-coding RNA (83 nucleotides) under Schistosoma japonicum. The record is from RNAcentral. Lineage: Eukaryota; Metazoa; Platyhelminthes; Trematoda; Strigeidida; Schistosomatidae.